GAUGAACGCUAGCGGCAGGCUUAACACAUGCAAGUCGAGGGGCAGCAAGGGUAGCAAUACCUGUUGGCGACCGGCAAACGGGUGCGGAACACGUACACAAUCUACCUUUAUCUGGGGAAUAGCCCGAAGAAAUUCGGAUUAAUACCCCAUAAAAUAAACAGAGUGGCAUCACUUAAUUAUUAAAACUACCGGUGGAUAGAGAUGAGUGUGCGUCCCA
RNAcentral lists this ribosomal RNA (217 nucleotides) under uncultured bacterium. Its description in RNAcentral is "partial 16S ribosomal RNA". It matches the Rfam family "Bacterial small subunit ribosomal RNA", at positions 28 to 240 of the family's 1533-position model. The record is from RNAcentral.